RNAcentral lists this long non-coding RNA (2026 nucleotides) under Daphnia pulex (common water flea). Its description in RNAcentral is "uncharacterized LOC124193545, transcript variant X1". The record is from RNAcentral. Lineage: Eukaryota; Metazoa; Arthropoda; Branchiopoda; Diplostraca; Daphniidae.
AAACCGUUAACGGUAUAGUAAAUCUUACUCGAAUGCUCGACCCUAGAUGGCGUAAUCCAUAAACAUAUUCUCCAUCUCGCGGCAGUCAUGGAAAUUAACAUUGUUUCUUAUUGGACGCCUGAAAAUGGCGACCACAUUGCGAGUGUCGGGUCGAGUCGAGUAAGAGUCGCUUACGUCAACAAUUCGGGCCUUAUUACCAAACAACAAAAGCACCGUGAGUGUGGAUUGUGAUCGAGGAGAAAUUGGCAGUGGUGAAGAAACUAUUGACAGGGAGGACCGUAAGACGUGAUAUUACUCAAGCAGCCCCAUCAAUUCCAACAGUUGCUUGAAGAUUUGGUCAUAGACAGAAUUUGAAAAAAAGCCCUUUAUCAAGAGUAAACAAUUUGAGGCAGGCAACAAAAAAUCCUUUCUGAAUCCUGACCUAGAAAUUGCUAGAUUUGUUGAAAGUUGAGAAAGAAAAAGAUGAACUUAUUCCACACCCUGCAAGACUGUCAUUAUAUUGGCAAACUCGCAUGUUGAUUUACAGUUAGUGGUUCUGGUGGAGUCACCAUUGGGGGAAAGCAGUGGUCCCCAAAAAAUCAAAAUCCCAAUCUCCUUUACUAGCUGACAUCAUUUUCAUGUUGGGCAUGGAAGGCUGGCACAAAACGUAUGUUAACCACGAGUAACGCAGUAGCGCCCAAUAAGAGGUCGACCAACUUUCGAAAUUUAGCGAUGACCCUUUUAUGAUCAUGUCAGCCAAUCCUGAGGACCGCUCAUUCUCAAGCUCCAGCUCAAGCGCAACCUUCUGUAGCCAGCACUGGGAACUCGCGAUUACGAGGAACUACGCAACUUUCUACGGCAGUUGGAAACCCACGAGAGCCACUGGCCGUUCCUCAAGUCCACAACUUUCGUCACAAUAAUUCACUACUUUCAUCUUGAUCAUCGUCAGAUCAUCAAGAAUCCAAUGGACAAAUGGUUUAGACCAAUUUAUACAAAGAGCCGCUACCGACGACUUGGUUCUAGACCUACGACAUUUUGUUGUUUUAGUUGGCCUAGUGAAGUACCAGAGGUGGAGCCAGAAAUGAAAACAGAUUUAGAAACCGCGCUGCCCAGUGCCCACCACUUCCAGAAGCUGAGAUUGAUAUUACAUGUGCAAUGGGCUCUUUUUAAAAGUGGAACUCCACUUCAUCUAAUCUAGCACUCCAAUUGUGCAGGCUGUAUGGAAUUCUCAUUCACAUUUGCUGUGAAUGUCAAUUAGAUGUUCACUAAUUUCAAUGUUCAACAUGUUUUUCAACAAAUAACUCAUUGACGUACAAGGAAAGCUACGAAAAAUAUCAUAUCAUCUAGGCCAUGGGUUAUCUUCAGGUCUAUUGCAGCAGCUUAAGAGAAGAAUAUGAACAAAUGCAGGGCACAUACCAACAUGUGUUGUAUUUUUCUGAAUGUUAAACACGAGCAGUAGAUUCAACAUGACUAACUGUUUGAUGCCAAAGUUAGUUGGAACUCAGUACUCAACUCACUGUACGUACUCUAACACAGAUAACUGGUUUUGUGCCUUUCACUUUUCAGCCACAGGCAGGAAAAUUAUUCUUUACUUCAGAAAAUUGCAAGUUUAAUUUUUUGUCUUGACUCUCAACACUUUCUGUUAAUAUUAUCAAUUUUUAUGUUGAAAGAGUUACAAAGUCUGAAAAGCUAACUAAAAACUUUGUGUUUUUGUUUCAUAGGGAAAGCUGCUGGAGUAAUCUGGUGGUUAUGCUCAUUUGAUUCAUUUUUUCAUUUCGUGCCAGCUAGUGAAAGCGGAAAGGCAUGUCGAACUCAAUUGAGCUGCUGCGACUUUGCGACUCCAAGCAAGCAAUUCAGCCGUUGCGUUCAGUCAUUUGUUGGAACAGGAAUCUAAAGGCUGUCAAUAGGUGGCUGUCAAUAGGUGGCUAAAAUGAUGUCCACCAGAUAGCGCGAAUGUCUUCAGUGACGCUUAGCGGCCAUUUUGUUCCAAGACACAGCAGAGAUGGGUUGUUGGUUGUGAGUUGUGACGUUUCUCACGAUGAUAAUU